CAAUAGGAAGAUUUUGAUAUUGUGCAAUACCUCAUCAUCAGGCUCCCCAUUCAUUAUCAUUUUGUUUUCGAAAACCAUGAUUUUAGUCCUAAAAUUGGCAAGGACAACACCGGCAGAAGACACACGACCUAACUAACGUUAGAUCACCAGCUUUGAUUUGGAGGACGUGUUACGUCACACGCAGGAAAUAGCUAGCUAGAAAGUUCGCCGGAAGAAUGUUUAUUUUCGUUCACUAGAUGGCAACCCUCCAACCAUUUCCAUGCGCUGGGGGAACCAAUGUUCUGAUAUAUUCUGCCCGAUGGCAAGACGGGUUGGAAACAGUGUCGUACACCAACAUGGCAGCGUCUAUGGACACGAGAAUAUGGUUUAGAAAAAUUGAAGAUCUACGGUGUCUAACGGAAUCGCGUGAAAGCAAAAUUGUACGUAUAACGUGUAGACUGGUUUUAGCAACAACAAAAAAUCCACAAAACAAGUUCGCGAAAAAAAAUCUAGCACCCGUUCACUUUGUGUGAGCAGGGUAUUUUUUUCGCGCACAAUUCUAUACCUUCAUAUUUUAAUCAUCACCGGUGAUGGAGUCAACAGAGUGAGAACUGCUUAUUUACUGGCAACAAGGAUGUUACCAAGUUAGUCUCUAAAUUAGCCUAGGGUAUGGGUCCUGGAUCUGCACUAUCCUCUAGGAUGUAUGUGCAUUCUCUGUAAUACACUAGGGACCGGUUUGGACAUAAACCAUACUUUUUUUGGACCUUUAUUUAACUAGACAAGUCAGUUAAGAUAAUUCUUAUUUACAAUGAUGGCCAAACCCGGAAGACGCUGGGCCAAUUAUGCGCCGCCCUAAACCAUCCUCCAUUCAGGUUGAAAAGGAAUAAUUCCAUUCCUUAACUAUAUUUUAAUGGCGAGCCACCGAAAACACAAAAGAAGUGAAAAUCUGUACUGUCUUAAUAAAAUAAAAAAAUCCACCACCAUUUUCUGUUUAUGGACAGUUUGGGAUGUUGCACACGCGGUGCAGAUCUAGUGCUCACUAUCUAAAAGGCACUACAUGGUCAAGCCGCCGUCUGCAUUGGCUGUGCAGCCUCUGCAAAAUCAUGGCAUUCAUGCUUCGCGGAGCAGUGCAGAGCUGUUGUCAAGGAAGAGAGUUUGUUAAUAUUCGGGACUUCCCAUCGCCGCCUUCUCUCAGCCAUUCAUGUCAAUGCUGGAGGUAUAUAGAGCUACAGUUUAUGGAUCCCUCCGCAUUGCUACAUAAUUUCAGAGGCGCACAGCGAUGCGGAAUGGAGCUCCAUUUGACCUCUGCAUGCCUCCAGAGACUCCGCAUUUGCGUCACACAACUCGUAGAUCAAGCAUAAAUUGGCUUUAAACUUAACAUUAAAGGAUCUGCAUUAUUUGGCUGCAUUGCCAUUCCGACAUCUGCAUUGGCCAUGUGGCAUUUAAGUUGAUAUGGCUUCUGCAGAAGUCCGAGCAGAGCAGUCCAGAUUAGUUGUCGAGGAAACAGCGGUGUGUGGGUAAAAUCAUUGGGGAAGCCAUAUUGCAACCUAUGUGUCUAGACAUCAGGAAUGCAAUUACUCACCACAGACUAGCAGAAUCCUCUUUUUCUUUUCAUGACUCUGACGAGCCUGACAAGAAAGAUACGCUGCUUCCUCUGGAACAGGCCCCGAUGCCCGUGAUCUGCGUGAAGAGGAGGCGAAGAAAGGGGCUGAAGGUCCGGCUGCCUUCUGAGAACGCAGGCGAUCGAAUAAACCCCUACUUGCUCACCUGAGAUGUAGGGACUUUGUCAGACAGCCAGUUGGAGAAGAAGCUGUGGAGACACUGCAGGCAGCUGGAUUUCCUUCCCAUGAUAACCCCUCAUCACUCAAGUCUGUUGGUGCCAGUCAGGAUAUGGCUCUUCCUCACCCCAGCACCAAUAUCAAGUGCCCCCCCCCCCCCCCAGUGAAGACAUCUCCAGAUUCCAGCCUUCCAGUAAACAUCCAGAGUGCCUCUGAUUCCAUGAUGAGACCUCAAGAGGAGACGGCUCAGGACAGUGCAGCAACGGUGUUUUGGAACACAGUGUUUUUUACUGCUAUGGACAACAUCAUAAGUGACUUGGACACUAGGUUCCACACCACUGCAAAAAUUGUAGAAUGAUUUUGUGCUGUUCUGAAAGUCGAGCAGAUUAGUGAGGAUAAAGUCCCUUCUGUGUGCCAACCACUGAUCAUGAAGUAUUCCAGAGAUCUUACACCUGAGGUUCAAAAUGAAGACACCUGAACACUGCAUAUGCUGCCACUUUCCCCCCUAACUUGUCCCAUCUUGGUCUCCUGAAUGCAAUUUGUAAGAUGCAGCUGCAAAGCAGUUUUGGAGAAGUGUGCAUUUCUUUACGUAUAUUUUGCACGCUGCCUGUGACUGUUGCUGGUGGCAAGAGCUUUCAGUAAGAUAAAACUACUAAACUAUUUGAGGUCCACCAUGUCCCAGGACAGGCUUUGCAGUAUUGCCAUGCUGUCCAUUGAAAGUCAGUUAGCUAGAAAGCUGGACUUCAAAGACUUGAUCAGUGACUUUGCUAGCAAGACGGCUCAGCGCUGGGCUCUUGGUGAGUAAGGCUGAGCAAGGCCCAGUGAUAACUGGCAUGGCUAUGGAUAUUGGAUCACUACACACAUGAUGCCCACAGGCUGAGAACAGACUGAGAACAAGAUAAAUCUCAAAGCAAUGGCUGGAUUGCCGUAAAAUUUGUUGUGCACAAUCAAGACCCCAAGUACAUGUACAUUUAUUUUAAUUGAACAGGUGAAUGUAUAUUUAAGUUAUAUUUAUUUUAAGUUAUUCAUUAAUGUUAAGAUAAUUUUCCAUUCAAGAAUUAUUCCAUUAAAAUGACAUUUUACUGUAAAAGAUGGCCUUUAGCACAUUUCUUAUAGAGGGUAUCAGUCCUGCAUCAAAUAGUGAAUUCCACUGUAUGCAGAAUGUUGCAGCAUGUCUGCACAGUGUUAUAUUUUCACAGCUCACUGUCAGUAAAUAUAAAACAGUAAAUAUUGGACUACAAGAGAGUCGCAAGCGUGCAAAGGUAGAGUUAUUUAAAGUUUUGAAUGGGUCGAUUGGGUUCUGGAGGUGUGUGGUUACAGCAAUUGCGCAGGGUUGGUGUGGCCUGUGGUGGUGGGGCCCAAUGUGAUAUCUUUUCAUUGGGCCCAAAAUCCCUGGCAGUGCCCCUGCCUGGCGAAGUGGUGCCAGGAAAACAGCCUCUCCCUCAACGUCAACAAAACGAAGGAGCUGAUGGUGGACAACAGGAGACGGCAUAGAGAGCACGCCCCCGUUUACAUCAACAGGGGGUCAAAAGCUUCCUCGGCGUGCACAUCAUUGAUGAACUGAAAUGGUCCCUUCAAACAGUGUGGAGAAGCCGCAACAGUGCCUCUUCAACCUCAGGCUGCAAUCACAGGGCUCUCCAGAGCGUGGUACAUUCAGCACAACGCCUCACUAAGGGCACACUGCCUGCCCUCCAGGACAUAUGCAGCACACAGUGUUGCAGGAAAGACAAGAAUAUCAUCAAGGACCUAAAGCCAACAUAGCCAUGGUCUGUUCACCCUUCUACCGUCUAGAACUGGGAAGGGCAACUGGCAAAAUUUUAUUUUGUGUGGAACUCAGUUGGCAUCUCAACUUACUGUUAGAAUAAUAUAAUUUUUAAAAAUGUGGCUAAUUGACUGCUGAAGCACAACCACAUUUAUAAAUGGCACCUUUUGUAGAUUGGUAAGUUACUCUAGUGGGCAGCUAUCUAAACAUGUAGUAAGCAUGGUCAAAUUUCCGCAGUGGCUUGUGGGUAGGCAGAACGACAAAGCACUGCGGUCCAUCAUGAUGACAUCUGUUUUUUUGUGGCCCCUAACCCCAUCAAAGUUGCCCAUUCUUGAUCUAGAAGUAGGAGACAGUAGAAGUGCAUCAAAGCUCGGAUAGACAAAGAAACAGCUUCUAUCUCCAAGCCAUCAGACUGUUACCACUAGCCGGCCUCCGCCCAGUACCCGGCCCUGAACCUAAGUCACUAGCCGGUUACCACCCGGUACUCUACCCUGCACUCUAGGCUGCUUUGCACUAUAUACAUAGUCAUUGAACACUGGUCACAAUGUUUACAUAAUGUUUAACCCACUUUUUUUCAAGGCACACUUAACCAUCAUGGCUCCCACAGCAUUCUGCAGCGAUAAGCCUUCCCAUCAGCUUUGCGCUUAGUGGGACUAUGUCACGAGAAUUUUCAAUCCCAAUAAUGAUAACUAACAAUCAAUAAGCUUUGACCAAUCCCCGAGGUUUGUAAUACCCUGGGUUUAAUAAUAAUUAGGCAAAGACUCAGCUUAUGCAAAAGGUUUGUACAGUUUAUUCACGAGAGCGCUCUGAAGUCCAUAAUACAAAGACAUCCAUUUAUAACUCACUCCCUAUUUACGCACAUACCUUCACACAAACAGUAGAUAUCCUACGCACAUACAUACACACGAACAGUAGAUGAGUUGUAUCUUUCCCCAUAGUUCUCACCACUGUUUAUCACUACCAAGCCGACAGUUCCAUUCCCCCGAGAUUAGAGGAACCUUGAAAGGACUCCCUGUCCUAUCAUAAGUUUCUCAGAGUUCUAGCCAGGUCGGGUCAAACACAGUUGAAUUGUUCUCUGUAUUUUCUCAGACACACACACACACACAUUUCUCUCCCUCACAUGUCUCUACCAAACCUUAUUGGACUUACGUUUAGUACUUUAGUAAUUCAUUAUACAUGCUACAUAAACUAAUAAUCACUAAUAGUUAUGUUUCAGGGUGGAAUUCUUUAAUCAUUACCUUUUAAGCAUAUAAUUCCCU
Oncorhynchus gorbuscha (pink salmon) is the source of this 4778-nucleotide long non-coding RNA. RefSeq lists it as uncharacterized. NCBI's taxonomy places the organism in Eukaryota, Metazoa, Chordata, Actinopteri, Salmoniformes, Salmonidae. The record is from RefSeq and is a predicted model, not a curated record. The transcript is spliced from 3 exons.